This 497-nucleotide ribosomal RNA is filed under the name uncultured bacterium. RNAcentral describes it as "partial 16S ribosomal RNA". It matches the Rfam family "Bacterial small subunit ribosomal RNA", at positions 28 to 507 of the family's 1533-position model. The record is from RNAcentral.
GAUGAACGCUGGCGGCGUGCCUAAUACAUGCAAGUCGAGCGAACAGACGAGGAGCUUGCUCCUCUGACUUUAGCGGCGGACGGGUGAGUAACACGUGGAUAACCUACCUAUAAGACUGGGAUAACUUCGGGAAACCGGAGCUAAUACCGGAUAAUAUAUUGAACCGCAUGGUUCAAUAGUGAAAGACGGUUUUGCUGUCACUUAUAGAUGGAUCCGCGCCGCAUUAGCUAGUUGGUAAGGUAACGGCUUACCAAGGCAGCGAUGCGUAGCCGACCUGAGAGGGUGAUCGGCCACACUGGAACUGAGACACGGCCCAGACUCCUACGGGAGGCAGCAGUAGGGAAUCUUCCGCAAUGGACGCAAGUCUGACGGAGCAACGCCGCGUGAGUGAUGAAGGUCUUCGGAUCGUAAAACUCUGUUAUUAGGGAAGAACAAAUGUGUAAGUAACUGUUCACGUCUUGACGGUAUCUAAUCAGAAAGCCACGGCUAACUACGUG